GUAAGGAAUAUUGGACAAUGGGCGCAAGCCUGAUCCAGCCAUGCCGCGUGAGUGAUGAAGGCCUUCGGGUUGUAAAGCUCUUUAGCCGAUGAUUAUAAUGACUGUAGUCGGAAAAUAAGCCCCGGCUAACUUCGUGCCAGCAGCCGCGGUAAUACGAAGGGGGCGAGCGUUAUUCGGAAUCACUGGGCGUAAAGCGUACGUAGGCGGCUUUGCAAGUUGGGAGUGAAAGCCCAGGGCUCAACCCUGGAAUUGCUCUCAAAACUGCAAGGCUCGAAUUCGGGAGAGGAUAGCGGAAUUGUCAGUGUAGCAGUGAAAUGCGUAGAUAUUGACAGGAACACCAGUGGCGUAAGCGGCUAUCUGGACCGAUAUUGACGCUGAGGCACGAAAGCGUGGGGAUCAAACAGGAUUAGAAACCCCGGUAGUCC
This 425-nucleotide ribosomal RNA is filed under the name uncultured bacterium. RNAcentral's name for it is "partial 16S ribosomal RNA". It matches the Rfam family "Bacterial small subunit ribosomal RNA", at positions 354 to 796 of the family's 1533-position model. The record is from RNAcentral.